RNAcentral lists this ribosomal RNA (253 nucleotides) under uncultured bacterium. RNAcentral's name for it is "partial 16S ribosomal RNA". It matches the Rfam family "Bacterial small subunit ribosomal RNA", at positions 524 to 776 of the family's 1533-position model. The record is from RNAcentral.
UACAGAGGUCUCAAGCGUUGUUCGGAUUCAUUGGGCGUAAAGGGCGCGUAGGCGGCUUUUUAAGUCGGGUGUGAAAUUUCGGAGCUCAACUCCGAAACUGCAUUCGAUACUGGUGUGCUUGAGGACUGGAGAGGAGACUGGAAUUCAUGGUGUAGCAGUGAAAUGCGUAGAGAUCAUGAGGAAGACCAGUGGCGAAGGCGGGUCUCUGGACAGUUCCUGACACUGAGGCACGAAGGCCAGGGGAGCGAACAGG